Molecule: transfer RNA, 85 nt
Filed under: Verrucomicrobiota bacterium
Lineage: Bacteria; Pseudomonadati; Verrucomicrobiota
Description: Verrucomicrobia bacterium (fermentation metagenome) tRNA-Leu
Rfam family: tRNA
About the family: Transfer RNA (tRNA) molecules are approximately 80 nucleotides in length. Their secondary structure includes four short double-helical elements and three loops (D, anti-codon, and T loops).
Source: RNAcentral
GCCGGAGUGGUGGAAUGGGCAGACACGCUGGACUUAAAAUCCAGUGGGGCAACCCGUGCGGGUUCGAGUCCCGCCUCCGGCACCA